This 899-nucleotide ribosomal RNA is filed under the name uncultured Neocallimastigales. RNAcentral's name for it is "partial large subunit ribosomal RNA". It matches the Rfam family "Eukaryotic large subunit ribosomal RNA", at positions 1 to 643 of the family's 3401-position model. The record is from RNAcentral. Lineage: Eukaryota; Fungi; Neocallimastigomycota; Neocallimastigomycetes; Neocallimastigales.
UAUGUGAUCGUCUCUCGCAUAUCAAUAAGCGGAGGAAAAGCGCAUUAAAGAUCCAGAUACCUACGCUUAGGAUGUUGACACACGCGCGUGCUCGAUGAUAGUCUAUACAUGACUCUGUGCAUAUCAAUAAGCGGAGGAAAAGAAACUAACAAGGAUUCCCCUAGUAACGGCGAGUGAAGCGGGAAGAGCUCAAAUUUGAAAUCUUAAAGGGUUUCCCUUUACGAAUUGUAGUUUAAAGAAGUGUUUUCUGCUUGAGGUUUUGGUAAAAGUUCUUUGGAAUAGGACAUCAUAGAGGGUGAGAAUCCCGUAUUUGACCUUUACUUUCAACUUUGUGAUACACUUUCAAAGAGUCGGAUUGUUUGGGAAUGCAGUCCAAAAUGGGUGGUAAAUUUCAUCUAAAGCUAAAUAUUGGCGAGAGACCGAUAGCGAACAAGUACCGUGAGGGAAAGAUGAAAAGAACUUUGAAAAGAGAGUUAAACAGUACGUGAAAUUGUCAAAAGGGAAGCGUUUGACACCAGUGUUGUUUUUCUGAAAAUCAAUUAAAGAACUGUUUAUGCUAAGCUUGUUUAGACUUUAUCAGCUAACUGUUUAGUUUUGAGCUUUUCUUUAAUGCACUUUUCAGUUAACAAGUCAACAUCAAUUUCUUUUGCUGUAAAAAAAGCUUGAGGAAGGUGGCUUGAGAUAGGAAAGGAAAGGAAUAAUUUCGUCUUAAGUGUUUAUAGCCUCUUGCCUAUGCAGUCGGAGAGAUUGAGGUCUGCAGCGUAGAUCCUUCGGGGCUAAAUGCAUUUGUGCUAAGUUAUAGCAUUUUAUAGACAACUUGUUGACUAUGAUUUGUCUUGUAGCUUACUCGCUUAUGUUAUUUUACCUACGCUUAGGAUGUUGACACACGCGCGUGCUCG